Molecule: microRNA, 22 nt
Filed under: Corchorus capsularis
Lineage: Eukaryota; Viridiplantae; Streptophyta; Magnoliopsida; Malvales; Malvaceae
Description: sRNA CCACVL1_18405
Source: RNAcentral
CAACAAAAAAAAAAGGACAACA